AAAGCCUGGGCCCGUGGGGGACGCACAUGGUCCUGUUCGUACUCCAGGAUGGCGGCGUAAAGGGCCCGCUGCUCCCGUUCCUCCGGGGUCAGGGCGACUUGGCUGCAAAACCUCCUGGGGAGAAAGGCACGCGGUGGGUGCCGGGGCCAGGCCCUCCCCGCAGCGGCCCCAGGGGCGGGCAGGAGUCCCACCUGUUGGCGGCCUCCUGGAGCCGCAGCCGGCGCUCCUCCAUCUUUCUCUGGAGCUGGGUGCAGAGUCAAGGGGCCGAGCGUGGGAUCUGAGCGGGCCCUCGGUUCCCAACCCCGUCCCACACCCGGAGAGGCCGGGACGUCCCAGGGACCCCCUCUCGGUGAGGGGCUGUCCCCAGGGAGGCCUCCUCCAGUGGCGUCAGCUCUCUGGAAAUGUGACAAGCUGCUGUCUAGACCCCAGGAAGCCCAGUGGUGUCUGGACACCAGAGGAGUCUCUCUCAUCCUCCCGGAUUGCUCUGAGGCCAGGAGCUUUGUGACUCUGCCCCCUGAAGCUUCUGGAAGAUCUCGGGUGGCAGAAAAGGAGAGAGCUUUCCUCCUUCAUCGGAGUAUACACGGCGGUGUCGUCCGGCAGGCUGGGGGAUGGGAGCAGCUGCAGGCAUGGUUGGCUUCAGGCGUGUUUUCCCUGCAAGCCAUGGGUAGCCAGGGGUCAAGCGGUGGGCCACAUCCCACAGAGGAGAUGCGGGCUUGGGGGAUGCCCCAGGAGAGCCGCCUACUGCAAGAGACCCACCAAGCUUGGCGGCCGUCGACUGGGCCCUCUCCAGACACUGCUGUGCUAGCUUCAGCAUCUUGGAGGUGUCGGGGGGCACAGUUUCCCCAGCUUCUGGGGGAGGGACAAGAAGGCUGGUCACAGUCGGCUCUACCACUGUUACUUACUAUUGAGAUAAAAUGAGGCAACGGAAAAGGCCUCUGGGAAGUGGCCAUUUUACAGAGACAAGGACGUGCUGAGGGGAUCGCCUCACCCAUCUCCCACCGGCUGUGUCCCCAAAGUCCUGCCUUCCCGUAGCUUGGCAUGGAGCACCUCUGCGCGACCAUGGACCUGCUCACACAGCCCUUCUGCGCGCCGUGGGAGCUGCCUCUCUGUGACUCGCCCCCGGACCCACCGCCCCAGCGCCUGACCCACCUCCCUGCCGCCUUUCACAGAAAACUUCUCAUAGACUCCCGUUUUCUCAUCCCGCCCCGACUUAGCCCCCGACUCCCCCCGGAAACUGCCCUUACCCGUCCCCACCUUGCCAGACACGGUGGGCCACUGGAGUUCCUCUGUCUUCUGGGACUUGGCUCUCCCCAGGGGAUCCUCUGCCACUCCUCCACCCAACUCCUCAAUCUUGGAGCGCCAGAGCUCAGCCGAGCUCACCGGCUCCCUAGGGAGCUGGGGCAACUGUUAGCUCCCCCUGACCUGUGUGAUCCCACGUCCAGUGGCUGCCCCGACCUCCGUGCUCCCACGUCCAGGGGCUCCCCCGACCUCCGUGCUCCCACGUCCAGGGGCUCCCCCGACCUCUGUGAUCCCACGUCCGGGGGCUCCCCCGACCUCUGUGCUCCCACGUCCGGGGGCUCCCCCGACCUCCGUGCUCCCACCCCCGACCUCCGUGCUCCCACGUCCGGGGGCUCCCCCGACCUCCGUGCUCCCACGUCCGGGGGCUCCCCCGACCUCCGUGCUCCCACGUCCAGUGGCUCCCCCUGACCUCUGUGCUCUAUGUCCAGUGGCUCCCCCUGACCUCUGUGAUCCUAUGUGCAGCGGCUGCUGGCCUCUCAAACUUAAUGUGUUCAUUGCGGAACUUGC
RNAcentral lists this non-coding RNA (1806 nucleotides) under Pan troglodytes (chimpanzee). The record is from RNAcentral. Lineage: Eukaryota; Metazoa; Chordata; Mammalia; Primates; Hominidae.